AGUGAACGCUGGCGGUAGGCCUAACACAUGCAAGUCGAACGGCAGCACAGUAAGAGCUUGCUCUUACGGGUGGCGAGUGGCGGACGGGUGAGGAAUACAUCGGAAUCUACUUUUUCGUGGGGGAUAACGUAGGGAAACUUACGCUAAUACCACAAACGACCUACGGGUGAAAGCAGGGGAUCUUCGGACCUUGCGCGAUUGAAUGAGCCGAUGUCGGAUUAGCUAGUUGGCGGGGUAAAGGCCCACCAAGGCGACGAUCCGUAGCUGGUCUGAGAGGAUGAUCAGCCACACUGGAACUGAGACACGGUCCAGACUCCUACGGGAGGCAGCAGUGGGGAAUAUUGGACAAUGGGCGCAAGCCUGAUCCAGCCAUACCGCGUGGGUGAAGAAGGCCUUCGGGUUGUAAAGCCCUUUUGUUGGGAAAGAAAAGCAGCAGGUUAAUACCCCGCUGUUCUGACGGUACCCAAAGAAUAAGCACCGGCUAACUUCGUG
This 492-nucleotide ribosomal RNA is filed under the name uncultured bacterium. Its description in RNAcentral is "partial 16S ribosomal RNA". It matches the Rfam family "Bacterial small subunit ribosomal RNA", at positions 29 to 507 of the family's 1533-position model. The record is from RNAcentral.